CCCUCACUGGAGGCUCCUGAGAGCUAUGGGGGGAACUUUUGUGGUUCUCUGUGUCUACUGAGAGGCUGCUGGGCUCUCUACCUGCUUUUUUGUGGUUCUGGCUUAGAACUGCAGCUGGGUUCUCCUUUCUUUUGGGGGGGGGUCAUCAUGGUACUCUCAUCUGGUUUCUACUUCUUGGUUUGGGGGCGGUUGGCUCAGGAUUGCUGCUUUAUUUCUUGAGGCAAAACACAACUCUAAGGUUGUGGGUGCUGCAGUUCCUCCUACUCCUCUUGAUGGAGAGGCGAUCAGGAUGAGGCUGUGCCCUCAAGCCCAGCACUGGUGCUGCUUAGUGUGAGAACUGCAGUGGCACCUUUUACAGCAAGGAUCAAUGGAAGCCCUUGAGCAGCUUUGCCGCCAGGGAAACUACGGAGGCUGAAGAAGACAUCCAUCCUGCUGCAAGCCUAGAUGCCCGAGGGGACAUCCUUGCCUGGGUGCUCCCUGCUUGGCCCUAACGAGGCCCAUCAGUGCUAAUGAAGAAAUGACCUCCAGCUAGUGCACGUGGCUGCUUAUGUGCUCACAUCCUGCCUGCUUUGGAGGUUUGGGGCCAGCGGGAGGAUGCCGGUGGCGUUAAAGCGCAGAUGGACCCGGAGAGCGAGGCGAGCGCGGAGCGCCCUCGGGAUGGAGUCGUAAGCCGGGCGUCGGAAGACAGACUCUGCUCUUGCGGUCGGGGGUGCGCAGGUUGCGGUGCAGUUGACGACGUUGAGGAAGGCCACCAGCCCUGCCCUCGCGGAACGCGUUGAAGAGCCUCGAGGCACGUUAGCGAGCAGGGAGCGACCGGCGGCCGCCCUGAAGGAGAGUCGUGGCUGAAACCGCCGUUCCCGCGCUCGGUGCGCGUCCUGACUCGCAAGCAACUGCCCAAGUACGGUAACGGGCGUCCCGCUCCAUCAGCGUCGCAGCGCCUCCGGUUGGACCAGGCUGUCAAGUAAGCGUUACGCUUUUGGUCUAUUUUUUCAGUGUUUUUCUUAAGUGAAGCUAUGUUAAAUGAAAGCUGUUUGUUUUGACGCGGUGGAGGAAGGAGCGCCUUGUUUUAGUAAGGCGUUGUAAGUUAGCAGCAUAGCGAAAGAUGGAUUGUAUUGGUGCAUCAGCAUUGCGGUAGUCAUCUCGUUCACUGUAGGUGGAGAGAUUGUAUCGGUAUCUUGGUUUUGGCUUGUGGCGGCUUUUUUUUUUUUUUUUUUUGUCUGUCUCGUUUGCUGGAGAGAUUGUAUUUUGCAGUCAUCUUAGUUUUGGCUUUUUUUCUGUCUUUGAGCUUGCGGUCAUCUUGUUUUUUUGGGGGGGGCUGUGCUUUGUGGUAGUUGUGUCUUGGCAUCUUGGUUUUUUUUUUUUUGCUGUCUUGCUGGAGAGAUUGUAUUUUGUGGGUUUUUUUUUUUGGCUGUCUUGUUUUCUGUUGAGGUUGUAUUUUGUAGUUAUCUUGGUUUCUGGUUCUGUUUUUUUUUGUCUUGUGAUCAUCUUAGUUUUGGUAGUUGUCUUGUUUUCUGUUGAGGUUGUAUUUUGUAGUUAUCUUGGU
Molecule: long non-coding RNA, 1543 nt
Organism: Lagopus leucura (white-tailed ptarmigan)
Lineage: Eukaryota; Metazoa; Chordata; Aves; Galliformes; Phasianidae
Exons: 8
Source: RefSeq, a predicted model, not a curated record